This 3033-nucleotide long non-coding RNA is filed under the name Sus scrofa (pig). RNAcentral's name for it is "lncRNA (ENSSSCG00050064360.1)". The record is from RNAcentral. Lineage: Eukaryota; Metazoa; Chordata; Mammalia; Artiodactyla; Suidae.
ACUUCAGACUUGGACUGGAGCUAAAUCACCAGCUUUCCAGGGUCUCCAACUCACCAACUAUUGAACUUGGGACUUUGUAGCCUUCACAGUCAUCUGUGCUCCACGGUGACGCAGCCAUGCUGGACCAGUUCAGACUAAACACAUAUACAUCAUUGUCUUCAUGUGUGCUUCUAAUGUGUCCACAUCAAACUCUGGAGAGGACUCUUGGGGACAGUAAAUGGGGCUGAGACCACCUCGAAGUAAUUUUCAACGUGCGUACCUGUCAUCCUCCCGUCACUUCUCCUGGAGCAGCCUCAGGGCAAGCCCACCGGGGCAAUGAUUCCAUGUUUCCAUCCAACCGCUAAACUCAUCCUUCAUGACCUGGGCCCAGGCCAACUCACCAGAUCGAGCUCCUAAGAAGAGAGCAUAUUGUGUGGUUGACAGGAAUUCCACUGAGAAGAGCUGGUCACCUCUUGGCUUCUUUAAUUGUUCCUCAUAAGGAACAUUUACGAUAUCAUGACGGGUGUUUGGAGGGAUGUUCAGACAGUAAUUUACUUGGGGGUAGAAAAACCAACCUUAUAAACACUGAAAAGAAGACAAAGCAUAUCAAAGGUUGCAUUUUUCUCUUUCACUCAAUAUUGAACAAAUAUUUAUUAAAUAUCCACCAUGUGUCAGACAUUACUCUGUGCUCUGGAGGCUCAAGGAAAUGAGAAUCAAUUGUGCCUUCAUCAAAAUCCCAGCUAACCAGGCAGGCAGUGUGAUAAGCUCUCUGGUCAGCUAAGUACACAUGCAGACCAGAUUCCCACUGAGGACUUGGGAAGGUUCUCAAGCAAAUGGUAAUUCAGCCGAGACUUAAGGGAUCAUCUCAGAGUUACUCAUGAGAGAACAGGCAGCACACAUAUGGGAAAAGUGUGUUCCUAUUAGAAAAAGGUGUAUAAGAAAGCAUAGGGAUAAAAAAAAAAAAAUAGCGCUGGUCAUUAAAAAUGACAAAUCAAGUGAUGGCAGCUGGAACACUGAGUGUGCAGAAAAGUGGCCAUGGGGAGGCUGCAUAAGUAGACAGGGAACCCCACAAUGAAGGGACUUAGAAGCAAUAUUGGGACAUUCAGACUUUUUCCUAAGAGCACAAAAGAGCCAGUAAAGCCCUUUAAGCAAGAUCCUAACCACAAAUCCUAAAUAAAAAUGCUUGUAGAAGGGUCAUAUCUGCCACAUUCAUUCGAUCAGAGUCUACCAAGUUCCAGACUCUAGGCUGGCCCUUGCAUGGACUGUACAUCAUCAACUGAAUCUAAGAAAACUUAAGAAAGCUCUCUUUCAGAGUUUGCCAAAGUCUGAAAAAAAGAGGGGAAACAGAAAGAAGAGUAGAUUAGUGUGAUGCUUAGUUUUAUGGGUCAAUAGGCUCAGAGGUGGUGCCCAGUGGUUUGGUCAAACUGUAGUUUAGAUGUUGCUAUGAAGGUCUUUUGUAGAUAUGAUAAACAUUUAUAAUCAGUUGACUUAAAUAAAGCACAUCAUCCUCUUUCGUGUAAGGGGCCUCAUCCAAUCAGCCAAGAGCCUGAGGUGCAAAAAUCAAGGUUUCCCAGAGAAACAGGAAUUCUGCCUCAAGACUAUAACAUGGAAACUCUGCCUGAAUUUCCAGUCGGCUGACCUGCCCUGAGGCUUUGAGACUCAAGACUGCUACAGCAACAUUUACGUGAAUGUCCAGCCUGCCAGCCCCAACAAUCACUUACUUAAAAUUAAUCUCUAGAUAAAUUGACAGUAGAUAGAUAUAAGGAAAUGUAUACACACACACACAGUUGGUUCUAUAUCUGUAUCAUCAGAUCUCUGACUUCUAUAACCAGGAGUCUGAAAACCCACUCCAAUCUCCCCUCUCUAUCAUCUGACUUCUCUGAGCCUAUUGUCUCAUCAGCAUAAUAGAGACUAAUCACCCUCCUUUAGCACCAUGGCUGGCACAUAGUAGGUGCUUCAAAUCAUUUCUUUUCCCCUUUCCUUGAUUGAUUGAUAGGAUAGCUACAUAUCCAAUGAAGGGGCAUUUUUCUGCUGACACAGGCUGCACUUGAUGAAAUCUGAUCUAGAAUGGGAAAUACUAAACAAAAUAAAAAAGAAUUUACUCUCCGAGUAUUAUUGCCACUGUGAUGGAUGGCUGCUCCAAAGGCUAUUUCUCAAGAGUUCACAGUAGAGAAAAAUGUUCAGGCUUGAUUUUGUAUGCGUGUAGAAAAUAAAUUGUAUGACAAGGGUGGCGACAUUUGGACGGGGGAGAGGGCUUAGCCAAGGAAUUAAACAUGUCAGGAGCCUCCAAAGAAAAAGAAUGUUGAAAUGGAAGGUGAAAGGGGCAUAUUUGGAAAACUUGACAAGUGGCACAGUGGGAGGAAAGGUGGCAUUCUGGAAUGGGGUGUCAGCCACUCUCUGCCACUAAAGCCACGAUUUGCCCUUAAUAAUUCAGCGAGGUAGAAAGGAAAAAAUAUGAGCCCAACUUCUAAAGCUCUAUUAUCACAACUGGCUUAAAUUAUUUUCCCUUGCUUAAUUGACCACACAGCAAACAGAGAGAGAAUAAAAUCAGCCAGGGCUUUUUUUUUUUUUUUUCUUUUAAAUGGAAUCUUUGCCUAGGUAAUCUCUCAAGUUCCUGUCAACAAAACUCCCAACAUUAGAAAUAAACGAGACCCUGGGAGACAAAAUAACUGGAAUAAUGUCACACAGAACAUAAGUAGAAAACCCAAGUAGAAAACCCAGGCCUGGGAGCUCCCAACCUCAGGGCUUUGCAAGGAAUGAAGAGUAUUAUCCUGGCAAGGAUGGCACACAGGUUGCAGUCAGCACACCAACUGUAAUUGAUUAAUUGUGCUGGGUUGAGGUGUGUGAGAGCAAAUGCAGGUUCACCAUGAAAGCAGGGCUUAAUUGAUUAGUGAUAUCUGUCGUGGGAGCCAGAGGUUCUCCAGGCAGGCCAAAUAUUUGUCAUUCCUUAUCUGGUCUAACUUUUUCUUUUUUCCCCUGUAUUACAGGUCUGCAAAAUAUAGCUGGUGGGCCAAAUUGGGCCUACUGCCUGUUUUUAUAAAUAAAAUUUUACUA